GUAGUAUAGAAAGAAAGGGAUUUGGAGGGUUCAAGAGAUCCCAUCAAAUGUAGAGCGAUGUGCGGUAGACACAUCUUUUGUUUCCAAAUUUAUUCAUCUCUGUGAUUGUUAUAAAUAAAGUUUUAUUUGUAAAUCGGAUAAUAUUUCCAUUGCUCUUUUAAUAUCUAUAGUCCUAUUAAAAGUAAAAAAAUUAGUUUUGGUCAUCCUUAUGGAAUUUAUAUAAAAUAUUUUUUAAUGAUAGAAUUAAUUUAGAGAUCAGUUAUAAAUUUAAUGGAUAAAUUAUUCCGAUCUUUGAUUAGUCAAUGGAUGGCCUUUAUUUUAUAGAUUACUAUAUUUCAUCAUAAAAUUAAUCAUAGGUUCAGUUAUAUAAGCACGAAUUAUUUCUACUAUUAGAUGUAUUAAAGGACCAUUUUAUAAGAGACAUUUAGAUGCAGUAACUAAAGCUACUAAAAAAACAUGCAUUUUUUUAGUAGAACCAUGCAUUUUGUUUUGGUAGCUUAAAAACCCAUCGGUUCUGGAGUUUUUGAGUGCCUAAGAAGAUGAGAACAAGAAAGGGGAUGCUCUAAAUCGGCGAUUAUUUAACGACUCAACCAUAAACUCUGGCUUUAGUUUCUGUUUU
This 619-nucleotide long non-coding RNA is filed under the name Phoenix dactylifera (date palm). RNAcentral describes it as "long non-coding RNA (PDAC_LNC020507)". Lineage: Eukaryota; Viridiplantae; Streptophyta; Magnoliopsida; Arecales; Arecaceae. The record is from RNAcentral.